This 628-nucleotide ribosomal RNA is filed under the name Rhodotorula mucilaginosa. RNAcentral's name for it is "partial large subunit ribosomal RNA". It matches the Rfam family "Eukaryotic large subunit ribosomal RNA", at positions 69 to 664 of the family's 3401-position model. Lineage: Eukaryota; Fungi; Basidiomycota; Microbotryomycetes; Sporidiobolales; Sporidiobolaceae. The record is from RNAcentral.
UUACGAUCCCUAGUAGCGGCGAGCGAAGCGGGAAGAGCUCAAAUUUAUAAUCUGGCACCUUCGGUGUCCGAGUUGUAAUCUCUAGAAAUGUUUUCCGCGUUGGACCGCACACAAGUCUGUUGGAAUACAGCGGCAUAGUGGUGAGACCCCCGUAUAUGGUGCGGACGCCCAGCGCUUUGUGAUACAUUUUCGAAGAGUCGAGUUGUUUGGGAAUGCAGCUCAAAUUGGGUGGUAAAUUCCAUCUAAAGCUAAAUAUUGGCGAGAGACCGAUAGCGAACAAGUACCGUGAGGGAAAGAUGAAAAGCACUUUGGAAAGAGAGUUAACAGUACGUGAAAUUGUUGGAAGGGAAACGCUUGAAGUCAGACUUGCUUGCCGAGCAAUCGGUUUGCAGGCCAGCAUCAGUUUUCCGGGAUGGAUAAUGGUAAAGAGAAGGUAGCAGUUUCGGCUGUGUUAUAGCUCUCUACUGGAUACAUCCUGGGGGACUGAGGAACGCAGUGUGCCUUUGGCGGGGGUUUCGACCUCUUCACACUUAGGAUGCUGGUGGAAUGGUUUUAAACGACCCGUCUAAAAAAAAAGAAAAAAAAAAAAGAAAAUUAAAAAAAAAAAAAAAAAAAAAAAAAGAAAUUA